CGGACGGGUGAGUAACGCGUGGAUAACCUGCCGUAUACAGGGGGAUAACACUUAGAAAUAGGUGCUAAUACCGCAUGAGCGCACAGGACCGCAUGGUCGAGUGUGAAAAACUGAGGUGGUGUAAGAUGGACCCGCGUCUGAUUAGCUAGUUGGUGAGGUAACGGCCCACCAAGGCGACGAUCAGUAGCCGGCCUGAGAGGGUGGACGGCCACAUUGGGACUGAGACACGGCCCAAACUCCUACGGAAGGCAGCAG
RNAcentral lists this ribosomal RNA (255 nucleotides) under uncultured bacterium. Its description in RNAcentral is "partial 16S ribosomal RNA". It matches the Rfam family "Bacterial small subunit ribosomal RNA", at positions 99 to 354 of the family's 1533-position model. The record is from RNAcentral.